Non-coding RNA from Acanthosepion pharaonis, 99 nucleotides. The record is from the annotation of a GenBank genome assembly. NCBI's taxonomy places the organism in Eukaryota, Metazoa, Mollusca, Cephalopoda, Sepiida, Sepiidae.
GUUGAAAAACCAGUUUCCAUAUGAUCAUUGAAGUUAAGCAACGUCGAGACGCGUCAGCACCUAGAUGAGUGACCACUUGUGAAUACCAGGUGCUGUAAG